AGCCUUUAGCUUCACAAGUAUUAAAGGUCCUGCCUGCCCAGUGAGUAAUUUAACGGCCGCGGUAUCAUAACCGUGCAAAGGUAGCGUAAUCAUUUGUCCCUUAAAUAGGGACCUGUAUGAACGGCUCAAUGAGGGCAAACCUGUCCCCUAAGACCAGUCAAUGAAACUGAUCUGCCAGUACAAAAGCUGGCAUAUAACCACAAGACGAGAAGAUCCUGUGGAGCUUUAAACUCAAACACUACUAAACCCACCACCCAUACCCUAAGUAUGACAUGACCUAAAAUAGUGUUAGUUUUAAGUUGGGGCGACUACGGAGCAAAAAACCCCCUCCAUGACACAGGCCAACACCAUCCAAGACCUACAGGUCAACGAAAAACACCAUAGACCCAGUAAACACUGAGCAACGAACCAAGUUACCCCAGGGAUAACAGCGCCAUCCCCCUAAAGAGUCCAUAUCGCUAGGGGGGCUUACGACCUCGAUGUUGGAUCAGGACUCCCAAGUGGUGCAGCCGCUACUAAAGGUUCGUUUGUUCAACGAUUAAUGUCCU
RNAcentral lists this ribosomal RNA (548 nucleotides) under Gekko swinhonis (Peking gecko). Its description in RNAcentral is "partial large subunit ribosomal RNA". It matches the Rfam family "Bacterial large subunit ribosomal RNA", at positions 1816 to 2597 of the family's 2925-position model. Lineage: Eukaryota; Metazoa; Chordata; Lepidosauria; Squamata; Gekkonidae. The record is from RNAcentral.